GAUGAACGCUAGCGGGAGGCCUAAUACAUGCAAGUCGAGCGCCCCGCAAGGGGAGCGGCGGACGGGUGAGUAACGCGUGGGAACGUACCCUUUGCUACGGAAUAGCCUCGGGAAACUGGGAGUAAUACCGUAUGUGCCCUUCGGGGGAAAGAUUUAUCGGCAAAGGAUCGGCCCGCGUUGGAUUAGGUAGUUGGUGGGGUAAUGGCCUACCAAGCCGACGAUCCAUAGCUGGUUUGAGAGGAUGAUCAGCCACACUGGGACUGAGACACGGCCCAGACUCCUACGGGAGGCAGCAGUGGGGAAUCUUAGACAAUGGGCGCAAGCCUGAUCUAGCCAUGCCGCGUGAGCGAUGAAGGCCUUAGGGUUGUAAAGCUCUUUCAGUGGGAAGAUAAUGACUGUACCCACAGAAGAAGCCCGGCUAACUCCGUGCCAGCAGCCGCGGUAAAGU
This 448-nucleotide ribosomal RNA is filed under the name uncultured bacterium. Its description in RNAcentral is "bacterial SSU rRNA". It matches the Rfam family "Bacterial small subunit ribosomal RNA", at positions 28 to 526 of the family's 1533-position model. The record is from RNAcentral.